RNAcentral lists this ribosomal RNA (372 nucleotides) under uncultured bacterium. Its description in RNAcentral is "bacterial SSU rRNA". It matches the Rfam family "Bacterial small subunit ribosomal RNA", at positions 527 to 896 of the family's 1533-position model. The record is from RNAcentral.
GGGGGGUGCAAGCGUUGUUCGGAUUUAUUGGGCGUAAAGCGCGUGUAGGCGGUUUUUUAAGUCUGAUGUGAAAGCCCUGGGCUCAACCCGGGAAGUGCAUUGGAUACUGGAAGACUUGAAUACGGGAGAGGGCAGUGGAAUUCCUAGUGUAGGAGGUGAAAUCCGUAGAUAUUAGGAGGAACACCGGUGGCGAAGGCGGCUGCCUGGACCGAUAUUGACGCUGAGACGCGAAAGCGUGGGUAGCAAACAGGAUUAGAUACCCUGGUAGUCCACGCCGUAAACGAUGAGAACUAGGUGUUGCGGGUAUUGACCCCUGCAGUGCCGUAGCUAACGCAUUAAGUUCUCCGCCUGGGAAGUACGGUCGCAAGACUA